AGCUCCAAUAGCAUAUAUUAAAGUUGUUUCGGUUAAAAAGCUCGUAGUUGGGUUUCUGCCAAGGGCAACCUGUCUGCCCGCUGGGUGAGUAUUUGGUUUGGCCUGGGCAUCUUUAUGGAGAGUGUGGCUGCACUUGAUUGUGUGGCGCAGUACCCAUGACAUUUACUUUGAGGAAACUAGAGUGUUUCAAGCAGGCGUACGCCUCGUAUAUAUGAGCAUGGAAUAAUUUGACAGAGCUUUUGCUCUAUCUUGUUGGUUUCUAGAGCUAGGGCUAUGGUUAACAGGGAUAGUUGGGGGCAUUUGUAUUUAACUGUCAGAGGUGAAAAUCUUGGAUUUGUUAAAGACAAACGCAUGCAAAAGCAUUUGCCAAGGAUGUUUUCA
This 381-nucleotide ribosomal RNA is filed under the name uncultured eukaryote. RNAcentral describes it as "partial small subunit ribosomal RNA". It matches the Rfam family "Eukaryotic small subunit ribosomal RNA", at positions 587 to 972 of the family's 1831-position model. The record is from RNAcentral.